GAUGAACGCUGGCGGCGUGCCUAAUACAUGCAAGUCGAGCGAACAGAUGAGGAGCUUGCUCCUCUGACGUUAGCGGCGGACGGGUGAGUAACACGUGGAUAACCUACCUAUAAGACUGGGAUAACUUCGGGAAACCGGAGCUAAUACCGGAUAAUAUAUUGAACCGCAUGGUUCAAUAGUGAAAGACGGUUUUGCUGUCACUUAUAGAUGGAUCCGCGCCGCAUUAGCUAGUUGGUAAGGUAACGGCUUACCAAGGCAACGAUGCGUAGCCGACCUGAGUGGGUGAUCGGCCACACUGGAACUGAGACACGGUCCAGACUCCUACGGGAGGCAGCAGUAGGGAAUCUUCCGCAAUGGGCGAAAGCCUGACGGAGCAACGCCGCGUGAGUGAUGAAGGUCUUCGGAUCGUAAAACUCUGUUAUUAGGGAAGAACAAAUGUGUAAGUAACUAUGCACGUCUUGACGGUACCGAAUCAGAAAGCCACGGCUAACUACGU
This 496-nucleotide ribosomal RNA is filed under the name uncultured bacterium. RNAcentral's name for it is "partial 16S ribosomal RNA". It matches the Rfam family "Bacterial small subunit ribosomal RNA", at positions 28 to 506 of the family's 1533-position model. The record is from RNAcentral.